RNAcentral lists this ribosomal RNA (301 nucleotides) under uncultured bacterium. RNAcentral describes it as "partial 16S ribosomal RNA". It matches the Rfam family "Bacterial small subunit ribosomal RNA", at positions 509 to 807 of the family's 1533-position model. The record is from RNAcentral.
CAGUCGCCGCGGUAAAACGUAAGGUGCGAGCGUUAAUCGGAAUUACUGGGCGUAAAGCGUGCGCAGGCGGUUCGUUAAGACAGUUGUGAAAUCCCCGGGCUCAACCUGGGAAUGGCAAUGGAUACUGGCAAGCUAGAGUGUGUCAGAGGAUGGUGGAAUUCCCGGUGUAGCGGUGAAAUGCGUAGAGAUCGGGAGGAACAUCAGUGGCGAAGGCGGCCAUCUGGGACAACACUGACGCUGAGGCACGAAAGCGUGGGGAGCAAACAGGAUUAGAUACCCCGGUAGUCCCUGUCUCUUAUAC